Small nucleolar RNA from Polyodon spathula (Mississippi paddlefish), 85 nucleotides. RefSeq annotates it as small nucleolar RNA SNORD60. The transcript has a single exon. NCBI's taxonomy places the organism in Eukaryota, Metazoa, Chordata, Actinopteri, Acipenseriformes, Polyodontidae. The record is from RefSeq and is a predicted model, not a curated record.
AGCCUGUGGUGAAUUCAUUAUAUUUCUGACACCUCGUACGAGUAUUGGUAUAGCAAUACUUGAUUAGAAGUGAUAUCUGAGGCUC